Molecule: ribosomal RNA, 479 nt
Filed under: uncultured bacterium
Lineage: Bacteria
Description: partial 16S ribosomal RNA
Rfam family: Bacterial small subunit ribosomal RNA
Source: RNAcentral
GAUGAACGCUAGCGGGAGGCCUAACACAUGCAAGCCGAGCGGUAUUGUUUCUUCGGCACUGCGAGAGCGGCGUACGGGUGCGUAACACGUGUGCAACCUGCCUUUAUCUGGGGGAUAGCCUUUCGAAAGGAAGAUUAAUACUCCAUAAUAUAUUGAACGGCAUCGUUUAAUAUUGAAAGCUCCGGCGGAUAGAGAUGGGCACGCGCAAGAUUAGCUAGUUGGUGAGGUAACGGCUCACCAAGGCGAUGAUCUUUAGGGGGCCUGAGAGGGUGAUCCCCCACACUGGUACUGAGACACGGACCAGACUCCUACGGGAGGCAGCAGUGAGGAAUAUUGGUCAAUGGGUGCAAGCCUGAACCAGCCAUCCCGCGUGAAGGACGACUGCCCUAUGGGUUGUAAACUUCUUUUGUAUAGGGAUAAACCUACCCUCGAGAGGGUAGCUGAAGGUACUAUACGAAUAAGCACCGGCUAACUCCGUG